RNAcentral lists this unclassified non-coding RNA (277 nucleotides) under Ganoderma lucidum. RNAcentral's name for it is "partial internal transcribed spacer region". The stretch from base 1 to 46 matches the Rfam family "Eukaryotic small subunit ribosomal RNA", at positions 1786 to 1831 of the family's 1831-position model. Lineage: Eukaryota; Fungi; Basidiomycota; Agaricomycetes; Polyporales; Polyporaceae. The record is from RNAcentral.
AAGUCGUAACAAGGUCUCCGUAGGUGAACCUGCGGAAGGAUCAUUAUCGAGUUUUGACUGGGUUGUAGCUGGCCUCCCGAGGCAUGUGCACGCCCUGCUCAUCCACUCUACACCUGUGCACUUACUGUGGGCUUCAGACGUCGUGAAGCGGGCUCUUUACGGAGCUUGUAGAGCGUGUCUGUGCCUGCGUUUACCACAAACUCUAUAAAGUAUUAGAAUGUGUAUUGCGAUGUAACGCAUCUAUGUACAACUUUCAGCAACGGAUCUCUUGGCUCUC